This 742-nucleotide ribosomal RNA is filed under the name uncultured bacterium. Its description in RNAcentral is "bacterial SSU rRNA". It matches the Rfam family "Bacterial small subunit ribosomal RNA", at positions 8 to 796 of the family's 1533-position model. The record is from RNAcentral.
AGAGUUUGAUCAUGGCUCAGAACGAACGCUGGCGGCAUGCCUAACACAUGCAAGUCGAACGAGGGCUUCGGCCCUAGUGGCGCACGGGUGAGUAACGCGUGGGAACCUGCCCUGUGGUACGGAAUAACUCCGGGAAACUGGAGCUAAUACCGUAUGUGUCCUGUGGGACAAAGAUUUAUCGCCAUGGGAUGGGCCCGCGUAGGAUUAGCUUGUUGGUGGGGUAACGGCCUACCAAGGCUUCGAUCCUUAGCUGGUCUGAGAGGAUGAUCAGCCACACUGGGACUGAGACACGGCCCAGACUCCUACGGGAGGCAGCAGUGGGGAAUAUUGGACAAUGGGCGCAAGCCUGAUCCAGCAAUGCCGCGUGAGUGAUGAAGGCCUUCGGGUUGUAAAGCUCUUUCGCACGCGACGAUGAUGACGGUAGCGUGAGAAGAAGCCCCGGCUAACUUCGUGCCAGCAGCCGCGGUAAUACGAAGGGGGCUAGCGUUGUUCGGAAUUACUGGGCGUAAAGGGCGCGUAGGCGGUACUUCAAGUCAGGCGUGAAAGCCCCGGGCUCAACCUGGGAACCGCGCUUGAGACUGGAGAACUAGAGUUCGGGAGAGGAUGGUGGAAUUCCCAGUGUAGAGGUGAAAUUCGUAGAUAUUGGGAAGAACACCGAUGGCGAAGGCAGCCAUCUGGACCGACACUGACGCUGAGGCGCGAAAGCGUGGGGAGCAAACAGGAUUAGAUACCCUAGUAGUCC